GAUGAACGCUAGCUACAGGCUUAACACAUGCAAGUCGAGGGGCAUCGGGAAGAAAGCUUGCUUUCUUUGCUGGCGACCGGCGCACGGGUGAGUAACACGUAUCCAACCUGCCCUUUACUCGGGGAUAGCCUUUCGAAAGAAAGAUUAAUACCCGAUAGCAUAAUGAUUCCGCAUGGUUUCAUUAUUAAAGGAUUCCGGUAAAGGAUGGGGAUGCGUUCCAUUAGGUUGUUGGUGAGGUAACGGCUCACCAAGCCUUCGAUGGAUAGGGGUUCUGAGAGGAAGGUCCCCCACAUUGGAACUGAGACACGGUCCAAACUCCUACGGGAGGCAGCAGUGAGGAAUAUUGGUCAAUGGGCGGUAGCCUGAACCAGCCAAGUAGCGUGAAGGAUGAAGGCUCUAUGGGUCGUAAACUUCUUUUAUAUAAGAAUAAAGUGCAGUAUGUAUACUGUUUUGUAUGUAUUAUAUGAAUAAGGAUCGGCUAACUCCGUGCCAGCAGCCGCGGUAAUACGGAGGAUCCGAGCGUUAUCCGGAUUUAUUGGGUUUAAAGGGAGCGUAGGUGGACUGGUAAGUCAGUUGUGAAAGUUUGCGGCUCAACCGUAAAAUUGCAGUUGAUACUGUCAGUCUUGAGUACAGUAGAGGUGGGCGGAAUUCGUGGUGUAGCGGUGAAAUGCUUAGAUAUCACGAAGAACUCCGAUUGCGAGGGCAGCUCACUGGACUGCAACUGACACUGAUGCUCGAAAGUGUGGGUAUCAAACAGG
Molecule: ribosomal RNA, 758 nt
Filed under: uncultured bacterium
Lineage: Bacteria
Description: bacterial SSU rRNA
Rfam family: Bacterial small subunit ribosomal RNA
Source: RNAcentral